UUAAUAUGCAACUAAAAUAAAAAUAAAAAAAACGUAUAUAUACACAUACAUAUACAAACACACACACUUCCGUUCAAAGCACAGUGGCCAUGUCGGGUUACUACAGCUGAGUUUCAAUUCAUUUCAGUGGGAGCUGAGCUGCAGUACCCAGCACGAACACUACACUUUGAACGGAGCUGUGCUUCCUGUUCCAUGCAAAGCAUUAGCUCCAGUACCAGAAGUUGUGCGGAACAGCUGAUCAAUGGGGGUGCAGGGUGUCAGAACCUCACCUAUUAGAUAUUAAUGACCCAUCCUGAGGAUAGGUAAUCAAUAUCAGGAGCCCCUUUAAUACAUAUGUUCAAAUGCCCUGACACAGAUUAAGAUUUCCAGUUCUAAUUUCUCAUAGGCCCUUUAAAAACCAAAGCAGCAACCUUAAUUUUUUGGCUAUCAAUGGCAGUCAUUGCAACUACUGUUUCACUUUCAAUUCUUUUAAUAAAUCACCCUUAUGAUGUACAUUUCUAGGAGCCAGUAACAUGACAAGUCACAGGGCUUAGUCCUAUUCAUGCUUUUAAAGGGGUUGUACAGUAUUAGAAAACAUGGCUGGUUUCCCCGUCCAUAGGUUGUCUGCUAUUGCAGUUCAGCUCCAUUGGAGUCAGUGGGGCAAAGCUGCAGUACCGCACAAAAUCUGUGGACUGUUGUGGUGCUGUUUUUGGAAGAAAGCUGCCAUCUUUUUCAAAUCCUAAACAGCCCCUUUAAACAAUGUUAAUCCCCCCUACUGUAAAAUCAAUGUAGGAAUCUACUGAAUAUCAUUAAAUUAAAUGGGCCACAUUUAGUUUACAUUUGAUUUUGACAGAAACUGCACAGAAAGUUGCAUCUAAAAUUGUGUCAAAUUUGCACAAAAAUCUGCAAAAAUUUGUUUUCUCAUUUCAAAAAAAUAAUGGACUGGGAAAGUGGGCAUGGUACAGCAAAUUUGGGUGGAUUCACCCACUGUAAUCAAAUAUUUUUUGCUGCCAUUACAAAGAAAUAGCCACAAAAUGCCAUUUUGGCAAUUUUGCAGUAAUUGCAGCAAAAAAAGCAAACCAAGAUUUGAACACAGGGUGUGAAUGCUCACUUAAACUUACUUAUCAACGGCAAAGGUUAAAAAUGACAGAAAUUAGUGGCACAAAUGUAUGGUAGCUCAUAUUAGCGCUCAUAAGAGGAAAAUCAGACAAUUCCAAAUGCAUCAGAUUUAUUAAAAGGGUCAUCCAGCCAUCUGAAGUUUCUUAAAAACAGAAUAUAUAAAACAAUACAAGUAGUAAUGACUGCAUAUAACCUUAACAAUCCACUGCUAGUCUCUGUAUACUGUCCUGUGUUGACAUUUGACCACUGUAGCCAGUCAUUGGCUACAGCGUGACCUCAGUACUGUUAACACGCCAAUACUACAACCCAACGGUUGGCAGUGGUCACAUGUCCAUGUCAACACCUCAUUGCUGAAGGCCAGCGGAGAGAGACUAGCAAGGAACCGGGAAGCAAUGAACCAGAAGUGGAGGGGGAUCACUGGUAUUACUUCUUUUAUUACUUUAUAGGAUUUGAGAUU
Long non-coding RNA from Bufo bufo (common toad), 1555 nucleotides. RefSeq lists it as uncharacterized. The record is from RefSeq and is a predicted model, not a curated record. Lineage: Eukaryota; Metazoa; Chordata; Amphibia; Anura; Bufonidae. The transcript has 2 exons.